CUUUGGUUCUAUUUUGUUGGUUUCUAGGACCGAAGUAAUGAUUGAUAGGGAUAGUUGGGGGCAUUAGUAUUUCGUUGUCAGAGGUGAAAUUCUUGGAUUUACGAAAGACUGACUUCUGCGAAAGCAUUUGCCAAGGAUGUUUUCAUUAAUCAAGAACGAAAGUUAGGGGAUCGAAGACGAUUAGAUACCGUCGUAGUCUUAACCAUAAACUAUGCCGACUCGGGAUCGGUGGAAUGUCUUUUGCAUCCAUCGGCACCGUAUGAGAAAUCAAAGUUUUUGGGUUCUGGGGGGAGUACGUUUGCAAGGAUGAAACUUAAAGGAAUUGACGGAAGGGCACCACCAGGAGUGGAGCCUGCGGCUUAAUUUGACUCAACACGGGGAAACUCACCA
Molecule: ribosomal RNA, 390 nt
Filed under: Eukaryota sp.
Lineage: Eukaryota
Description: SSU rRNA
Rfam family: Eukaryotic small subunit ribosomal RNA
Source: RNAcentral